Molecule: ribosomal RNA, 430 nt
Filed under: Bacteroidota bacterium
Lineage: Bacteria; Pseudomonadati; Bacteroidota
Description: Bacteroidetes bacterium partial 16S ribosomal RNA
Rfam family: Bacterial small subunit ribosomal RNA
Source: RNAcentral
UAGGGAAUCUUCGGCAAUGGUGGGAACCCUGACCGAGCAACGCCGCGUGAGUGAAGAAGGUUUUCGGAUCGUAAAGCUCUGUUGUUAACGAAGAAGGAGUGUGAGAAUGGAAAGUUCAUGCUGUGACGUUACUUAAUCAGAAAGGGACGGCUAACUAUGUGCCAGCAGCCGCGGUUAUACGUAGGUGGCAAGCGUUGUCUGGUUUUAUUGGGCGUAAAGCGAGCGCAUGCGGUCAAUUAAGUCUGAUGUGAAAGCCUCCGGCUCAACCGGGGUGGGUCAUUAGAUACUGGUUAGGUUGAGUGCAGAAGAGGAGAGUGGAAUUCCAUUUGUAGCGGUAAAAUGCGUAAAUAUAUGGGGGAACACCAGUAACGAAGGAGACUCUCUGGUCUGUAACUGACGCUGAGGCUCGAAGGCGUGGGUAGCAAGCAGG